UAAAAAACGUUGGGUUGUUUUUUCAACCCAACUGCUGGGUUGAGCCAGUUGGGUUAUUUUGUUGGGUUGUUUUAUCAGUGUUGGGUAGUUUUUGUGUAACCCAACUUGUUGGGUUAUAUGUUGGGUAAUUUUGAAGCAGAGCCAACUUAAUAGAUACAUAUAGCUGUUUCUCAAUAUUACUUUCUCUAGUCCACAAAAUGUAUUUUAAACAUAAAUUCAGGCGAGAAUAUAUAUGUAUUAUGCUCAAAUUUGCAGUCGGUUUGUAAAGUGAACGCCAAUUUUAAAGUUUAAUUUCAAAAAGUCGGAAUGUUACCGGCCACCGGGUGUCACUGUUGUUCUUCCCCAGAGAGAACUUCUCCCUUCCCCCACACAAACGCGUCAGACUCCAGUCACAGCUACAAACACGCUACCUGACGCGGGAAUUUACCAUCACCUCAAGAUUCAUGAACGGUUUUUCAUCGACUUAUCUUUGAUUUAUUUGAAGGAAAAGACCCUGAUGGAUAAAAGAUGGAUAUUUUUUUCCUGGAGAAGCUAAAACAAUGUCACUUUGAGGUUCUGAUACCAGCCUUUACAAAGUUAUUUACAGAGUUCACAAGACUUCUCUGUGUUAUUUCCUGACCAUGCCGAAAAACUAUUUGAAACUUGGGCACUGCAUUUUACAGACAGAAUCCUGCAACUUCCCAGCCAAGAACCAGGAGCAUCAACAAAUCACCUCCAGAACCCCAUGAUGAUAUUCCAACUCCUGUCUACAAAAGUGGGAAGAAAAUCUUAAGUCUAUGUUGGGACCAACAUGGUUGCAUUCUUCUGAGAGGCUGAGGUGACAAAACCAUUCCCAUUUGUCCUUGGAUUGGAAGAUGGCGAUCUCUGCCAUCAAGCCUUUGUUGUUUUUGACAGACAGUCACUCCAGCAAUACACCCUCCUUGGUGAUGUUGACAUGUUUUAAACUUUUUUUAUGUUUUGGACAUUCAUUUUACUAAGCAGUGCACAUCAGUGUGGGUGUUUUUGAAGACUGUUGUUUACAAACUUCCAAGAACGGAAUCCCUUUCUAUAAGAAGUCUGUGUAGUUAUUUGUCAUGCUAAGGUAAUAACUCAUGUUGAUCAUAUAUUGACUGUUUGUGCAACUUUGUGUUGAUCUUUUGUGUUACAUUAACCAUUUCUUAUUACACGGUUCUCUAAAAUGCUAGUUUCUGAUUGGCCAGUCGUGACAUUCUACUACUGCUCAAAACUAAAAACUCCAAUGCUGCAAAUCAUUUUGACAGGUACAGUUUUAUAUUACACAAAAAUUAAAUAUCAAUAUCUAUUAAUUACAUAUCCGACAUUAAAUUUACAAAUGAUUAAACCAAUGUGUUCAUGACAUUUGUCCUGAAGAAACUGUUGGGGCUUUUUUCUGUGAUGACAUGCUGCCAAUACAUUAUCCCUUACUUGUACAACUUUUUACUUGAUCUAAUUGUAAUGUUAACUGUGUAUCUGUCAUUUUAGAUUGUGAGAUAUAAUACUAAUAUAUAUUUUUUAUCAGAAAGUUGAUUGUUUGUGUAGGGCUAUGUACUCUUUUAUUGUUCAUGUGCAAUAAAUAUGCUUUUUCAAUUAAAUCUAUGCUUUGUUAUUUAUAGACACCACAAUGAAAGGUAUGAAAGCAAUUUAAACCACAAAAUUUCAGCUUUAAACACAUUAACCAAACGUUGGGUUGUUUUAACCCAACAAAAAGUUAUUU
Misgurnus anguillicaudatus (oriental weatherfish) is the source of this 1711-nucleotide non-coding RNA. The record is from RefSeq and is a predicted model, not a curated record. Lineage: Eukaryota; Metazoa; Chordata; Actinopteri; Cypriniformes; Cobitidae.